Molecule: ribosomal RNA, 460 nt
Filed under: uncultured bacterium
Lineage: Bacteria
Description: partial 16S ribosomal RNA
Rfam family: Bacterial small subunit ribosomal RNA
Source: RNAcentral
CCUACGGGAGGCAGCAGUGAGGAAUAUUGGUCAAUGGCCGGAAGGCUGAACCAGCCAUGCCGCGUGAAGGUCAGUGCCCUAUGGGCGUUAAACUUCUUUUGUGCGGGAGCAAUAAUGGUCACGUGUGGCCAGACGAGAGUACCGUACGAAUAAGCAUCGGCUAACUCCGUGCCAGCAGCCGCGGUAAUACGGGGGAUGCAAGCGUUUUCCGGAUUUAUUGGGUGUAAAGGGUGCGUAGGCUGGGAGGUAAGUCAGCGGUGAAAUGCCCCCGCUCAACGGGGUGAAGUGCCAUUGAUACUGCCUGGCUGGAAUGCGGAUGCCGUGGGAGGAAUGUGUGGUGUAGCGGUGAAAUGCAUAGAUAUCACACAGAACACCGAUUGCGAAGGCAUCUCACGAAUCCGCGAUUGACGCUGAUGCACGAAAGCGUGGGUAUCAAACAGGAUUAGAUACCCUAGUAGUC